Molecule: ribosomal RNA, 508 nt
Filed under: uncultured bacterium
Lineage: Bacteria
Description: bacterial SSU rRNA
Rfam family: Bacterial small subunit ribosomal RNA
Source: RNAcentral
GACGAACGCUGGCGGCGUGGAUUAGGCAUGCAAGUCGAACGGUAUCAUCCUUUCGGGGGUGAGAGAGUGGCGAACUGGUGAGUAACACGUAGGUUAUCUACCCUCAAGACGGGGACAACCCAGGGAAACUUGGGCUAAUACCGGAUGUGAGCAACUUUUAGUUGUUUGAAAGGUGGCGUAAGCUGUCGCUUGGGGAUGAGCCUGCGUCCUAUUAGUUAGUUGGUGAGGUAACGGCUCACCUAGGCAAUGAUAGGUAGGCGGCCUUAACGGGUGGUCGCCCACACUGGGAUUGAGAUACGGCCCAGACUCCUACGGGAGGCAGCAGUCGAGAAUAGUCUACAAUGGUCGGAAGACUGAUAGUGCGACGCCGCGUGAACGAUGAAUCCCUUCGGGGUGUAAAGUUCUUUUAUAUGUGAGCAGUGCUUCUUAUAUUAACAGUAUGGGGAAGAGAUAUUAGCAUAUGAAUAAGCAAACGGCUAAACUCCGUCCAGCAGCCGCGGUAAACACG